This 77-nucleotide transfer RNA is filed under the name Chryseolinea serpens. RNAcentral describes it as "tRNA_Cys_GCA". It matches the Rfam family "tRNA". From Rfam's summary of the family: Transfer RNA (tRNA) molecules are approximately 80 nucleotides in length. Lineage: Bacteria; Pseudomonadati; Bacteroidota; Cytophagia; Cytophagales; Fulvivirgaceae. The record is from RNAcentral.
GUCGGCGUACCCAAGUGGUCUAAGGGGUCUCUCUGCAAAAGAGAUAUUCAUCGGUUCGAAUCCGAUCGCUGACUCCA